RNAcentral lists this ribosomal RNA (657 nucleotides) under Cosmocalanus darwinii. RNAcentral describes it as "SSU rRNA". It matches the Rfam family "Eukaryotic small subunit ribosomal RNA", at positions 26 to 681 of the family's 1831-position model. Lineage: Eukaryota; Metazoa; Arthropoda; Copepoda; Calanoida; Calanidae. The record is from RNAcentral.
UUAUGCUUGUCUCACAGAUUAAGCCAUGCAUGUCCAAGUACAAGCCUCACUAAGGUGAAACCGCGAAUGGCUCAUUAAAUCACACCUAAUCUACUGGAUAAUUAACAGGUACUUGGAUACCUGCGGUAAUUCUGGAGCUAAUACAUGCGAAAAGCCUCGAACUUACGUGAGAGGCGCUUUUAUUAGAUCAAAACCAAUCGGCUUCGGCUGUACUCUUGGUGACUCUGAAUAACUUUGGGCUGAUCGUACGGCCUUGCGCCGACGACAUAUCCUUCGAAGGUGUGCCCUAUCAACUGUCGACUGUGGCAUAGACGCCCACAGUGGUUUUGACGGGUAACGGGGAAUCAGGGUUCGAUUCCGGAGAGGGAGCCUUAAAAACGGCUACCACAUCUAAGGAAGGCAGCAGGCACGCAAAUUACCCAAUGACCGAAGGUCGAGGUAGUGACGAAAAAUAACGAUCCAGGACUCAUCCGAGGCCCUGGAAUCGGAAUGAGUACACUUUAAAACCGUCCCCGAGGAUCUAUUGGAGGGCAAGUCUGGUGCCAGCAGCCGCGGUAAUUCCAGCUCCAAUAGCGUAUAUUAAUGUUGUUGUGGUUAAAAAGCUCGUAGUUGGAUCUCGGCAGAUUGAGAGCGGUUUGCUUGCUAGUAUUACUGCUC